This 21-nucleotide non-coding RNA is filed under the name Caenorhabditis elegans. The record is from RNAcentral. Lineage: Eukaryota; Metazoa; Nematoda; Chromadorea; Rhabditida; Rhabditidae.
UAUGUGUUUUGUCAAAUUGUC